GAUGAAGAACGUAGCGAAAUGCGAUAAGUAAUGUGAAUUGCAGAAUUCAGUGAAUCAUCGAAUCUUUGAACGCACCUUGCGCCCUUUGGCCAUUCCGAAGGGCAUGCCUGUUCGAGCGCCAUUGUAAUAUUAAGGCCCUGCCUUGCGUUGGUAGAAAUCCAAACUUUCAGUUAAUGGGUUCUACAGAAACUCUAGUGGCAUCAACCUGUAGUCCAUCAGCACAGAAGCAUGAUUGAGAUUACAACGGUGAUUGCCGAUUACAAUUAGCACUCUUGGCCUCGGAUCAGGUGGGGAUACCCGCUGAACUUAAGCAUAUCAAUAAGCGGAGGA
Molecule: unclassified non-coding RNA, 330 nt
Filed under: soil metagenome
Description: partial contains 5.8S ribosomal RNA, internal transcribed spacer 2, and large subunit ribosomal RNA
Rfam family: 5.8S ribosomal RNA (bases 1-121)
Source: RNAcentral